AGGACGAACGCUUGCGACGUGCCUAAGAAAUGCAAGUCGAACGGACAGUAGCAAUACUGUUAGUGGCGAACGGUCGCGUAACACGUGGGCAACCUGCCCCGAAGCGGGGGACAACAACUCGAAAGAGUUGCUAAUACCGCAUGUGAAUCGGUUCGGCAUCGAACAGGAUUCAAAGCCGCAAGGCACUUCGGGAUGGGCCCGCGGCCUAUCAGCUUGUUGGUGAGGUAACGGCUCACCAAGGCUUCGACGGGUAGCUGGUCUGAGAGGACGAUCAGCCGGAUUGGGACUGAGAUACGGCCCAGACUCCUACGGGGGGCAGCAAUUAGGAAUCUUGCGCAAUGGGCGAAAGCCUGACGCAGCGACGUCGCGUGAAGGAUGAAAUCUUUCGGGAUGUAAACUUCUUUUAACGGGAAGAAAAAAAUGACGGUACCCGUUAGAAUAAGCCCGGCUAACUACGUGCCAGCAGCCGC
RNAcentral lists this ribosomal RNA (470 nucleotides) under uncultured bacterium. RNAcentral describes it as "SSU rRNA". It matches the Rfam family "Bacterial small subunit ribosomal RNA", at positions 26 to 518 of the family's 1533-position model. The record is from RNAcentral.